RNAcentral lists this ribosomal RNA (481 nucleotides) under uncultured bacterium. RNAcentral describes it as "bacterial SSU rRNA". It matches the Rfam family "Bacterial small subunit ribosomal RNA", at positions 29 to 485 of the family's 1533-position model. The record is from RNAcentral.
AACUAACGCUGGCGGCGUGCCUAACACAUGCAAGUCGUACGAGAAAGUUGGCUUCGGCCGAUGAGUACAGUGGCGCACGGGUGAGUAACGCGUGGAUAAUCUGCCCUUAAGUGUGGAAUAACGUACCGAAAGGUGCGCUAAUACCGCAUAAUGCCUGGCAACAUAAGUUGUCCGGCCAAAGAAGGCCUCUGCUUGCAAGCUUUCGCUAAAGGAUGAGUCCGCGUACCAUUAGCUAGUUGGUGGGGUAACGGCCUACCAAGGCGACGAUGGUUAGCUGGUCUGAGAGGAUGAUCAGCCACACUGGAACUGAGACACGGUCCAGACUCCUACGGGAGGCAGCAGUGAGGAAUAUUGCGCAAUGGGGGCAACCCUGACGCAGCAACGCCGCGUGAGUGAGGAAGGUUUUCGGACUGUAAAGCUCUGUCGAGCGGGAAGAAGUGUACCAUGGCUAAUAUCCAUGAUAUUUGACGGUACCGCUAGA